Molecule: ribosomal RNA, 253 nt
Filed under: uncultured bacterium
Lineage: Bacteria
Description: partial 16S ribosomal RNA
Rfam family: Bacterial small subunit ribosomal RNA
Source: RNAcentral
UACGUAGGGUGCAAGCGUUGUCCGGAAUUACUGGGUGUAAAGGGUCCGCAGGCGGGCGAGCAAGUCGGUGGUGCAAGUCUUUGGCUCAACCAAAGAAUUGCCUUCGAUACUGCUCGUCCUGAGUUCGAGAGAGGAUAAUGGAAUUCAUGGUGUAGCGGUGAAGUGCGUAGAGAUCAUGAAGAACACCAGUAGCGAAGGCGGUUAUCUGGCUCGAUACUGACGCUCAGGGACGAAAGCGUGGGGAGCAAACAGG